CUUGAACCCACGAAGAACCACUUGGUCUUCUGCACCGAACCACGAACCAUGGAGCCCUAUCGUCUUCACCAAACCACGAACCCACGAAGCCCUGUCCUCUUCAAUUAUACAUUGAUCUGAAAUGUGAAGCCCUAACCCUAACCUAAAAUGUGAAGUCCUAACCCUAACCCUAACCUCAAAAAAUUUGGCAUAAUCAUCAAUUGGGCCGAGUUCCAAAAUCAGAGAAGCAAGUUGAGGGCUACCAGUCCAUAUCGAAGGCUUUGGAGGAGAAUUUUAGCAAAGUUGUAUUUGUAUGGAUGAGAUCUCAGCUUUUGUUUCCACCGUUUUAUCUAGUUUGCAUUCUUAAGACCACGUAGCAUUCUUAAGACAUCUGUUUGCUUACCAAUUUUUACCUUCAUGGUUAGACUAAUAGAAGGGAUCAUCAAGUUGUUUGUUUUUGAACAAGUUGGUUUUUCUUCAGAAUCACGCAUGGCAUCAUCCCAAUCAUCAUCUUUAGUUAAUGAUUUUGUCAUGGAAGCACCAACUUGUUGGUGUGGUUUGAAAACACCACUGAAGACGUCCUACACUAAGAAAAAUCCUGGAAGGAAAUUCUUUGCUUGCCCAAAGUAUAAUACGGGAGAUGCGAGAUGUAAAUUCUUCGUAUGGGCGGAUAUACUUCAGUUGUUAAAGGAGAACAUUUUAUCAAGAGAGAAUAAGGCUUGGAAGACGUAAGAUAAUGUAUUAAAGCGCGAGUAUGCCGUUCGUAAAAGGGAAGAGAAAGUGAGAGAGAUGGCGAAGAAUCUAAAAAAAGAAAAGCGGAAGUUAUUGUGUUUGUAUUGGAUUGUCACUUUUGUAAUAGUGUUUGCUUGGUUCGGAUAAUUAAUUUUAAAUAUUCAUUUUGGCUGGUUUAAGUAACCAUGUAUUUGCGUUUUGGUUCUGUUUUACUUAUAUGUUAUUGUGAAAAAAUGGGACUUUGCUUGUGAACUUGUUUUGUAAAUUAUUUGUGAAACU
Long non-coding RNA from Juglans microcarpa x Juglans regia, 990 nucleotides. RefSeq lists it as uncharacterized. NCBI's taxonomy places the organism in Eukaryota, Viridiplantae, Streptophyta, Magnoliopsida, Fagales, Juglandaceae. The record is from RefSeq and is a predicted model, not a curated record. The transcript has 4 exons.